This 882-nucleotide ribosomal RNA is filed under the name bacterium enrichment culture clone HY382. RNAcentral describes it as "bacterial SSU rRNA". It matches the Rfam family "Bacterial small subunit ribosomal RNA", at positions 9 to 894 of the family's 1533-position model. The record is from RNAcentral.
GAGUUUGAUCCUGGCUCAGGACGAACGCUGGCGGCAUGCCUAAUACAUGCAAGUCGAACGAACUAGUUUACUAGUUAGUGGCGAACGGGUGAGUAACACGUAAGUAAUCAACCUAUUAGACGAGGAUAACUAUUGGAAACGAUAGCUAAUACUGGAUAGGAUAUAAUGCUGAUGGCAAUAUAUUUAAAGAUGCGUUUGCAUCACUAAUAGAUGAGCUUGCGGCGCAUUAGCUAGUUGGUGGGGUAAAGGCCUACCAAGGCGACGAUGCGUAGCCGACCUGAGAGGGUGAUCGGCCACACUGGGACUGAGACACGGCCCAGACUCCUACGGGAGGCAGCAGUAGGGAAUCUUCGGCAAUGGACGAAAGUCUGACCGAGCAAUGCCGCGUGAGUGAAGAAGGUCUUCGGAUUGUAAAGCUCUGUUAUUAGGGAAGAAAGAAAUUAGGAGGAAAUGCCUAAGAAGUGACGGUACCUAAUCAGAAAGCCACGGCUAACUACGUGCCAGCAGCCGCGGUAAUACGUAGGUGGCAAGCGUUGUCCGGAAUUAUUGGGCGUAAAGCGUAUGUAGGCGGUCUAUUAAGUCUGAUUUGAAAGCCCAUGGCUUAACCAUGGAGGGAGAUUGGAAACUGGUAGACUUGUGUGCAGGAGAGGAAGGUGGAAUUCCACGUGUAGCGGUGAAAUGCGUAGAUAUGUGGAGGAACACCAGUGGCGAAGGCGGCCUUCUGGCCUGUAACUGACGCUAAGAUACGAAAGCGUGGGUAGCAAACAGGAUUAGAUACCCUGGUAGUCCACGCCGUANACGAUGAGUACUAAGUGUCGGGGGAGACCUCGGUGCUGAAGUUAACGCAUUAAGUACUCCGCCUGGGAAGUACGGUCGCAAGAC